GCCUCGGUAGCUCAGAGCUUUAGCGAGUAAUUGGUAGAGCGGCUGACUGUUAAUCAGCAGGCCGGAUGUUCGAGUCAUCCCCGGGGCG
This 88-nucleotide transfer RNA is filed under the name Microcaldota archaeon. RNAcentral's name for it is "Candidatus Micrarchaeota archaeon (hot springs metagenome) tRNA-Asn". It matches the Rfam family "tRNA". Rfam says of the family: Transfer RNA (tRNA) molecules are approximately 80 nucleotides in length. Their secondary structure includes four short double-helical elements and three loops (D, anti-codon, and T loops). Further hydrogen bonds mediate the characteristic L-shaped molecular structure. tRNAs have two regions of fundamental functional importance: the anti-codon, which is responsible for specific mRNA codon recognition, and the 3' end, to which the tRNAs corresponding amino acid is attached (by aminoacyl-tRNA synthetases). tRNAs cope with the degeneracy of the genetic code in two manners: having more than one tRNA (with a specific anti-codon) for a particular amino acid; and 'wobble' base-pairing, i.e. permitting non-standard base-pairing at the 3rd anti-codon position. The record is from RNAcentral. Lineage: Archaea; Nanobdellati; Microcaldota.